UUCCUGCGCUCCGCUCCCGCUGCAGGUGCCUGGGCCCGCGAGGACAGGCCUCGUCGCCACCCCCACCCGGCCUGCCCAGUGCCUGGCAUGAAACCAGUGUUUCAAAAAGCGGUGCCGGGCUGAAGCGCCGCACAGGAACUUGCUUUGCUCACCCGGGCGGCCUCGCUGGCCUCUGGCCGGCCUGUACCGCGCAUUGCAGAGCUAGGAGACGUGACAGCAGCCCCCUUUAAGGACCCAAGAGAUUCCCCACGGACCUCUUCCCCUUCCUUCCGUUUGAGAGGGAGCGGUGUCACUUGGUGAGAGGGAGGAGACGGGAGGAAAAGGAGAAUCCUUGGCUGGGUGUGGUCAGGCUUCAAGGUACCUGAAAAGUAGCCCCCACUAUCUUGAACUCAUUGUCAAGUCCUCCUCAUCCUCCAAAG
RNAcentral lists this small RNA (419 nucleotides) under Pongo abelii (Sumatran orangutan). RNAcentral's name for it is "sense intronic". Lineage: Eukaryota; Metazoa; Chordata; Mammalia; Primates; Hominidae. The record is from RNAcentral.